RNAcentral lists this ribosomal RNA (459 nucleotides) under uncultured bacterium. Its description in RNAcentral is "partial 16S ribosomal RNA". It matches the Rfam family "Bacterial small subunit ribosomal RNA", at positions 338 to 795 of the family's 1533-position model. The record is from RNAcentral.
CCUACGGGUGGCAGCAGUGAGGAAUAUUGGUCAAUGGGCGGGAGCCUGAACCAGCCAAGCCGCGUGAGGGAAGAAGGUACAGCGUAUCGUAAACCUCUUUUGUCAGGGAACAAAGGCGGGGACUAGUCCCCGGAUGAGGGUACCUGAAGAAAAAGCAUCGGCUAACUCCGUGCCAGCAGCCGCGGUACUACGGGGGAUGCGAGCGUUAUCCGGAUUUAUUGGGUUUAUAGGGUGCGAGGGCGGCCGGUUAAGUCAGCGGUAAAAGCCCGGGGCUAAACCCCGGCGGGCCGUUGAGAAUGGCGGGCUAGAGUUGGAGAGAGGUACGCGGAAUGCGCGGUGUAGCGGUGAAAUGCUUAGAUAUCGCGCAGAACACCGAUUGCGAAGGCAGCGUACCGGCUCCACACUGACGCUGAGGCACGAAAGCGUGGGUAUCGAACAGGAUUAGAUACCCUUGUAGUC